AAAGAAACCGGAUAAAUUCAAGCCGCAAAAAUCAGUUUUGAAGAGCGCAAUUUUUUUGAAGAACCAGUUUUGUUUCUCAAUUAACAUAAACCUAAUCGGAAUCCAAGCCCUAUGCUCUCUCACUUUCAUCCAGGUGAUACCAAGAAUAUUUUCAGAAGCUACUAGAGUGUAUCUCUAUUAUUUUUGCGGACGGAGCCCUUGUGUGAUCUUGAUAGGAUGUUCUCAAAGAAAUGCAGAGAGGAGGACGAACAGGGGCAUAUAUAUUUUUGUUGCAUUCCUCCCGUCUGAAAUUCUAACGGAGAAGGUUCUUGAAGGUAAUUGAGAGGUGAGAAAAACAAAGAAAAGCUAUUCAUGAAAUGAAUGAAGAAUAUAAAGCUCCAUUUCAAGAUCAACAUCCAAGAUAGGGAUUUCAACAGCAAAAGAGCACUUGAGCAACUAAAAAUAGUGAAUUCACACAAAAAAGAUCUGCAAAGAUACCAAAUAAGUGGCUAAUUUGGGAAUGUAUAGACCUAUAGCACCUGUUCUUACAUUUUGUAAAGAAUACCCCAUUUGAACUGUUGGACUCUCUAUUUGAAGUGCUGGAAUUCUAUUUUAACUAUUAGGGCUCAUUUAAAUUAAUUGUUGUGCUAAAAGACAAUUGUAAGACUCGAUACUGUACUUGGGGUUACUGUUAACGCAGAGGAUAAGAUAAGGGUUAAUAGUUUUGGGAUCAAAGCCAGUCAUUUUUUAUAAUGCUAUGGCCAUUUUCUC
Lycium barbarum (goji berry) is the source of this 750-nucleotide long non-coding RNA. RefSeq lists it as uncharacterized. Lineage: Eukaryota; Viridiplantae; Streptophyta; Magnoliopsida; Solanales; Solanaceae. The record is from RefSeq and is a predicted model, not a curated record. The transcript has 5 exons.